Long non-coding RNA from Lontra canadensis (Northern American river otter), 385 nucleotides. RefSeq lists it as uncharacterized. NCBI's taxonomy places the organism in Eukaryota, Metazoa, Chordata, Mammalia, Carnivora, Mustelidae. The transcript has 3 exons. The record is from RefSeq and is a predicted model, not a curated record.
AAACACAGAAAAAAAUUUUUAAAAGAACAAUUUUCAAAAACUCUAUGUAUUUUAGUGAUUGAACAAGAAAUUAUAGAGUUUUAAGGAGAGCAACCAAAGAAAAAUGAAAUACUAAGCUUGGGGAGACAUUUUAGACAGAACAAAGUGAUAUGAUGCUCCUUGUUAAUUUGCUCAAGAAAUGACAGCCAGUAGCUUUCCUUCAUUAUAUCAAUAGUGAAGUUUACCAGGAAUGAUCUUAGACUUCCCCUGGACGCCAUGAGACUUAAGCCGAGAAGAUCUCAAAAGCCUUUACAAGACAAACCGGGAAGAGGAAAAGUAUUAGAUAUUGGCUUUUGCAUGUGCCAUUUCAUCCACCUGGCAUAUCCCUCCUUCCCAAUGGAACUAU